Molecule: long non-coding RNA, 368 nt
Organism: Belonocnema kinseyi
Lineage: Eukaryota; Metazoa; Arthropoda; Insecta; Hymenoptera; Cynipidae
Exons: 3
Source: RefSeq, a predicted model, not a curated record
GGAACGCGAAAGAGCACGUGGAUCCAUCACAGAAUAUUUUGAUUUAUAUUCUGUCUUGAAGUCAGCAGCCGGGCCAGAAUUGGUAUGUGGAAUUCUGGUUUAAAUAUAUUAACAUUGACAUCGAGUUGAUAUUUGAUAAUGGCCCCAAGUCGAAAUACUUUUUGCAACACUGAGCUAUUGUAGCUAAAAAGAUUGUGCAGUAAGCAACAGAAAAUGCUACCGUCGAGAAUUUGACUGCUUAAGCUGGAGGUCUUUUGCUACUGCCUCACUUAUUCAAUCCGAAGUCUGUGCCAGACAAAAGUAAAUAGGCCACUGGAACCAAAGAAAAGAAAAAAGCCAAUAAUAAGAAUGGAAAAGUAUUAUCAAGU